UACGGAGGGGGCAAGCGUUGUUCGGAAUUAUUGGGCGUAAAGGGCGCGUAGGCGGCCAUGCAAGUCGGUUGUGAAAUCCCUUGGCUCAACCAAGGAACUGCGUCCGAAACUGCAUGGCUAGAGUCCGGGAGAGGGUAGUGGAAUUCCCAGUGUAGCGGUGAAAUGCGUAGAUAUUGGGAGGAACACCGGUGGCGAAGGCGGCUACCUGGACCGGUACUGACACUGAGGUGCGAAAGCGUGGGGAGCAAACGGGAUUAGAAA
This 261-nucleotide ribosomal RNA is filed under the name uncultured bacterium. RNAcentral's name for it is "partial 16S ribosomal RNA". It matches the Rfam family "Bacterial small subunit ribosomal RNA", at positions 524 to 784 of the family's 1533-position model. The record is from RNAcentral.